RNAcentral lists this transfer RNA (73 nucleotides) under Operophtera brumata (winter moth). It matches the Rfam family "tRNA". From Rfam's summary of the family: Transfer RNA (tRNA) molecules are approximately 80 nucleotides in length. Their secondary structure includes four short double-helical elements and three loops (D, anti-codon, and T loops). Lineage: Eukaryota; Metazoa; Arthropoda; Insecta; Lepidoptera; Geometridae. The record is from Rfam by way of RNAcentral.
UGUUCUAUGGCCGAACUGGUAAAGGCAUUGCCGAUCACAGGCAAGGGUGCGGGUUCGAGUCCCGCUGGAACGG